UACGUAGGAGGCGAGCGUUGUCCGGAUUUAUUGGGCGUAAAGAGCGCGUAGGCGGCUAGUUAAGUCUGAUGUGAAAUCUCCCGGCCCAACUGGGAGGGGACAUUGGAUACUGGUUAGCUUGAGUGCAGCAGAGGGAGAUAGAAUUCCCGGUGUAGUGGUGAAAUGCGUAGAUAUCGGGAGGAAUACCAGUGGCGAAGGCGGUCUCCUGGGCUGUAACUGACGCUGAGGCGCGAAAGCGUGGGGAGCGAAC
RNAcentral lists this ribosomal RNA (250 nucleotides) under uncultured bacterium. RNAcentral's name for it is "partial 16S ribosomal RNA". It matches the Rfam family "Bacterial small subunit ribosomal RNA", at positions 524 to 773 of the family's 1533-position model. The record is from RNAcentral.